GACGAACGCUGGCGGCGCGCCUAACACAUGCAAGUCGAACGAGCGAGAGAGAGCUUGCUUUCUCAAGCGAGUGGCGAACGGGUGAGUAACGCGUGAGGAACCUGCCUCAAAGAGGGGGACAACAGUUGGAAACGACUGCUAAUACCGCAUAAGCCCACGACCCGGCAUCGGGUAGAGGGAAAGGAGCAAUCCGCUUUGAGAUGGCCUCGCGUCCGAUUAGCUAGUUGGUGAGGUAAUGGCCCACCAAGGCGACGAUCGGUAGCCGGACUGAGAGGUUGAACGGCCACAUUGGGACUGAGACACGGCCCAGACUCCUACGGGAGGCAGCAGUGGGGAAUAUUGCACAAUGGGGGAAACCCGUGAUGCAGCGACGCCGCGUGGAGGAAGAAGGUCUUCGGAUUGUAAACUCCUGUU
Molecule: ribosomal RNA, 414 nt
Filed under: uncultured bacterium
Lineage: Bacteria
Description: bacterial SSU rRNA
Rfam family: Bacterial small subunit ribosomal RNA
Source: RNAcentral